RNAcentral lists this ribosomal RNA (429 nucleotides) under uncultured Gammaproteobacteria bacterium. RNAcentral's name for it is "bacterial SSU rRNA". It matches the Rfam family "Bacterial small subunit ribosomal RNA", at positions 958 to 1385 of the family's 1533-position model. The record is from RNAcentral. Lineage: Bacteria; Pseudomonadati; Pseudomonadota; Gammaproteobacteria.
AACGCGAAGAACCUUACCUGGCCUUGACAUGUCUGGAAUCCUGCAGAGAUGCGGGAGUGCCUUCGGGAAUCAGAACACAGGUGCUGCAUGGCUGUCGUCAGCUCGUGUCGUGAGAUGUUGGGUUAAGUCCCGCAACGAGCGCAACCCUUGUCCUUAGUUGCCAGCGAGUAAUGUCGGGAACUCUAAGGAGACUGCCGGUGACAAACCGGAGGAAGGUGGGGAUGACGUCAAGUCCUCAUGGCCCUUACGGCCAGGGCUACACACGUACUACAAUGGUCGGUACAGAGGGUUGCAAUACCGCGAGGUGGAGCCAAUCCCAGAAAGCCGAUCCCAGUCCGGAUCGAAGUCUGCAACUCGACUUCGUGAAGUCGGAAUCGCUAGUAAUCGCGGAUCAGCUAUGCCGCGGUGAAUACGUUCCCGGGCCUUGUA